RNAcentral lists this ribosomal RNA (289 nucleotides) under uncultured bacterium. RNAcentral's name for it is "partial 16S ribosomal RNA". It matches the Rfam family "Bacterial small subunit ribosomal RNA", at positions 773 to 1060 of the family's 1533-position model. The record is from RNAcentral.
GUGGAUUAGAUACCCGGGUAGUCCACGCCGUAAACGAUGUCAACUAGCCGUUGGGUCUUUAAAAAGAUUUAGUGGCGCAGCUAACGCAAUAAGUUGACCGCCUGGGGAGUACGGCCGCAAGGUUAAAACUCAAAUGAAUUGACGGGGGCCCGCACAAGCGGUGGAGCAUGUGGUUUAAUUCGAUGCAACGCGAAGAACCUUACCUGGUCUUGACAUCCUCGGAACCUCGCAGAGAUGCUUGGGUGCCUUCGGGAACCGAGAGACAGGUGCUGCACGGUUGUCGUCAACU